ACAAAGAGCUUUAAAGGAUAACAAAGACAAGGUGUAGAGGACAAUAUUUCUAAUCACAGAUAUUGUUAUGUACAGAUAGUCUUUUUCUUCUCAACUGAGACAAAAGCAUGUGUUACCCCUCUGAUAAAUGGGGCUCUCAUAGAAACGUGGAAUACCUCAGGGACUCUAUUUUACAAUAUACACAAGUGAUUUUUCAUGUCUACCGCCCUACAACUUCUACAAUGCAUGCAGUAAUGAAGAAGGUCCUUAAGUCCUAAAUCACUGUUAGGCUGAAAUUCUGAAAUCAAGCCCACAUAGAAUAGCUCAUAGCUGCAUUCCUAUUUAUUGAAAGCCCCAGUUAUCCUGUAUUUCAUCCAAGCAAGCAUAUAUCAUUUUGUUCAGUGACACUUUUUGUGAAAAGGAGCUAAUCAGGUCUUUAUUUUAGAGGAAAGUCUGCACAGAGCAGGAUGGAAGCUGUGGGCUGUUUUUCGUAUGGGGACCCAAAAAAGCGCCCUUCCAGAGGAGGACAAUUCCCUGAUACUUUUCUCUUGAUAAAAUGAAAAUGGCACUGGUUUCUCAGAGUUCACAGAUGCCUGAGUUUCUUCAUGAAGGCAAGGCCAUUUCUACAUAACCACAUAAGGAACUACUCCUGCAACGUUUCUGCUGCAGAAAAGUAAAUGAAGGCUGAACUCCUGUAGGCCCUAAUUUACAUCAGCUCCCCCACUGACAAACAGUCCCAGCCUGGAGGAGAGCCAAGCAUGGGUCCUGAAGAAACCAAACACCGG
Long non-coding RNA from Cygnus atratus (black swan), 764 nucleotides. RefSeq lists it as uncharacterized. NCBI's taxonomy places the organism in Eukaryota, Metazoa, Chordata, Aves, Anseriformes, Anatidae. The record is from RefSeq and is a predicted model, not a curated record. The transcript has 2 exons.